This 459-nucleotide ribosomal RNA is filed under the name uncultured bacterium. RNAcentral's name for it is "partial 16S ribosomal RNA". It matches the Rfam family "Bacterial small subunit ribosomal RNA", at positions 339 to 795 of the family's 1533-position model. The record is from RNAcentral.
CUACGGGCCGCUGCAGUGAGGAAUAUUGGUCAAUGGGCGCGAGCCUGAACCAGCCAUCCCGCGUGCAGGAUGACGGCCCUAUGGGUUGUAAACUGCUUUUCUAUGCCAAGAAACCUGAUUACGUGUAAUCAGUUGCCGGUAGCAUAGGAAUAAGCAUCGGCUAACUCCGUGCCAGCAGCCGCGGUAAUACGGAGGAUGCAAGCGUUAUCCGGACUCAUUGGGUUUAAAGGGUGCGCAGGUGGGCUUGUAAGUCAGUGGUGAAAUGCUGCCGCUUAACGGUAGAACUGCCAUUGAUACUGCGAGUCUUGAGUAUGGUUGAGGUAGGCGGAAUGUGUUGUGUAGCGGUGAAAUGCAUAGAUAUGACACAGAACGCCAAUUGCGAAGGCAGCUUACUAAGCCAUUACUGACGCUGAGGCACGAAAGCGUGGGGAGCGAACAGGAUUAGAUACCCCGGUAGUC